RNAcentral lists this long non-coding RNA (295 nucleotides) under Nicotiana benthamiana. Its description in RNAcentral is "long non-coding RNA (NBEN_LNC036654)". The record is from RNAcentral. Lineage: Eukaryota; Viridiplantae; Streptophyta; Magnoliopsida; Solanales; Solanaceae.
GUUUGAGACCUGACGGUCCAAAAUUAUGGCAUGAGACCCUCAACUCAGCAACAUUACUAUUAGAAUUCUGGGAUUGAUUUCUCAAUAUGUCAAGUAAUGACAGACCAGUAGGCAAGUGGAAGAACUCGUCCACGUCCAUAAAACCAACCCACUCACAUACAUCCCUUGCUCGUAACGACCAGUAGGCAAGUGGAAGAACUCGUCUACGUCCAUAAAACCAACCCACUCACACACAUCCCUUGCUCGUAACGCACAAUGAGCAAAACCAGCCUCCUGAGUCUUGAUCCAAGGCCAA